AAUACAUCGGAACAUGUCCUGUAGUGGGGGAUAGCCCGGCGAAAGCCGGAUUAAUACCGCAUACGAUCUGAGGAUGAAAGCGGGGGACCUUCGGGCCUCGCGCUAUAGGGUUGGCCGAUGGCUGAUUAGCUAGUUGGUGGGGUAAAGGCCUACCAAGGCGACGAUCAGUAGCUGGUCUGAGAGGACGACCAGCCACACUGGGACUGAGACACGGCCCAGACUCCUACGGGAGGCAGCAGUGGGGAAUUUUGGACAAUGGGCGAAAGCCUGAUCCAGCAAUGCCGCGUGUGUGAAGAAGGCCUUCGGGUUGUAAAGCACUUUUGUCCGGAAAGAAAUCCUUGGUUCUAAUAUAGCCGGGGGAUGACGGUACCGGAAGAAUAAGCACCGGCUAACUACGUGCCAGCAGCCGCGGUAAUACGUAGGGUGCAAGCGUUAAUCGGAAUUACUGGGCGUAAAGCGUGCGCAGGCGGUUUGCUAAGACCGAUGUGAAAUCCCCGGGCUCAACCUGNGAACUGCAUUGGUGACUGGCAGGCUAGAGUAUGGCAGANGGGGGUAGAAUUCCACGUGUAGCAGUGAAAUGCGUAGAGAUGUGGAGGAAUACCGAUGGCNAA
This 611-nucleotide ribosomal RNA is filed under the name uncultured Burkholderia sp. Its description in RNAcentral is "bacterial SSU rRNA". It matches the Rfam family "Bacterial small subunit ribosomal RNA", at positions 112 to 719 of the family's 1533-position model. Lineage: Bacteria; Pseudomonadati; Pseudomonadota; Betaproteobacteria; Burkholderiales; Burkholderiaceae. The record is from RNAcentral.